CCUACGGGGUGCAGCAGUGGGGAAUAUUGGGCAAUGGGCGCAAGCCUGACCCAGCAACGCCGCGUGAAGGAAGAAGGCUUUCGGGUUGUAAACUUCUUUUCUCAGGGACGAAGCAAGUGACGGUACCUGAGGAAUAAGCCACGGCUAACUACGUGCCAGCAGCCGCGGUAAUACGUAGGUGGCAAGCGUUAUCCGGAUUUACUGGGUGUAAAGGGCGUGUAGGCGGGAAAGCAAGUCAGAUGUGAAAACCAUGGGCUCAACCUGUGGCCUGCAUUUGAAACUGUUUUUCUUGAGUACUGGGGAGGCAGACGGAAUUCCUAGUGUAGCGGUGAAAUGCGUAGAUAUUAGGAGGAACACCAGUGGCGAAGGCGGUCUGCUGGACAGCAACUGACGCUGAGGCGCGAAAGCGUGGGGAGCAAACAGGAUUAGAUACCCCGGUAGUC
RNAcentral lists this ribosomal RNA (443 nucleotides) under uncultured bacterium. RNAcentral's name for it is "partial 16S ribosomal RNA". It matches the Rfam family "Bacterial small subunit ribosomal RNA", at positions 338 to 795 of the family's 1533-position model. The record is from RNAcentral.